This 206-nucleotide ribosomal RNA is filed under the name uncultured bacterium. RNAcentral's name for it is "partial 16S ribosomal RNA". It matches the Rfam family "Bacterial small subunit ribosomal RNA", at positions 568 to 774 of the family's 1533-position model. The record is from RNAcentral.
UUCGUAGGUGGCCUGCUAAGUCACACGUGAAAUCCCUCAGCUUAACUGGGGAACUGCGUGUGAGACUGGCGGGCUUGAGUGCAGGAGAGGAACGCGGAAUUCCAGGUGUAGCGGUGAAAUGCGUAGAUAUCUGGAGGAGCACCGGUGGCGAAGGCGGCGUUCUGGACUGCUACUGACACUGAGGAACGAAAGCCAGGGAGCAAACG